UACGGGAGGCAGCAGUGAGGAAUAUUGGUCAAUGGGAUCAAGCCUGAACCAGCCAUGCCGCGUGCAGGAUGACGGUCCUAUGGAUUGUAAACUGCUUUUGUACAGGAAGAAACACUCCCUCGUGAGGGAGCUUGACGGUACUGUAAGAAUAAGGAUCGGCUAACUCCGUGCCAGCAGCCGCGGUAAUA
RNAcentral lists this ribosomal RNA (188 nucleotides) under uncultured Bacteroidota bacterium. RNAcentral's name for it is "uncultured Bacteroidetes bacterium partial 16S ribosomal RNA". It matches the Rfam family "Bacterial small subunit ribosomal RNA", at positions 340 to 525 of the family's 1533-position model. Lineage: Bacteria; Pseudomonadati; Bacteroidota. The record is from RNAcentral.